CAUACCGCUUGCUAGAAAUGAAAUGCCUACCUAGCAGAAUGGGCUUCAGUUACUAGAUUCACGUGGUUGAUCAGCAAGGCAAUUUUCAACUUUUUUUUCCUGCUCUUGAUCUACCAAUCCUAUAAAUGCGGCCACCUAAACUUUCCCAAAAAACAAAUUGGAUAUUGAAACAACGUGAGUCCUCCAUUAAAUAUUUUCUAAUUAUUGACUCCUGGUCCUGGAUCUGGGCUCGCUAUCGUAAGAUGGCAUUUCUUACCUCCUGUACACUUUUGUAACGGUAUUAGAUGUGGGCUUAUCGGGCUUUCCAAAGUUGAUUAGAUUACAUUCACAAGUGGGCCUAAUUGGAUUCGAGGUAUCGUCCUCUAGCUAGUUGAGCCCAUCUCGGCAACAUAGCCCAAUAAAAUUAGGGUUUCAUAUCAUUAGUAUUUAACUCCCGGCGAAGCCCCUAAACGUAGCAGCUCUCUCUAUCAUUCUCCGCAGCCUCUAGGAUUCUGAAUCAAAAGAAAGAAGGAACACAGAGCUUGGAUACUGUGACACCAUGAGAGCCAAGUGGAAGAAGAAGCGUAUGAGGAGGUUGAAGAGGAAGCGCCGAAAGAUGAGGCAGAGAUCCAAGUAGUUUUCUAUUUUAUCAAUAAUAGUGAAAGUUGUCUUUCGUUUUAGUAUUUCUUGUUUCAGUUAUCAGUACUACUUUCAACUGAGUAGAUUAUUUCCGUUUUAAAUUUCAUGAUUUUGUUAGACUUUCAAACUGGAUGGAAAUGGGAUUUUGGUUUUGCUUAUUGGGCUUCAAUGCUGUGUUAUUAUGAUGA
This is a long non-coding RNA of Populus nigra (black poplar), 806 nucleotides long. RefSeq lists it as uncharacterized. NCBI's taxonomy places the organism in Eukaryota, Viridiplantae, Streptophyta, Magnoliopsida, Malpighiales, Salicaceae. The transcript is spliced from 2 exons. The record is from RefSeq and is a predicted model, not a curated record.